GAAAUGCGAUAAGUAAUGUGAAUUGCAGAAUUCAGUGAAUCAUCGAAUCUUUGAACGCACAUUGCGCCCCUUGGUAUUCCGGGGGGCAUGCCUGUUCGAGCGUCAUUAUAACCCUCAAGCCUAGCUUGGUGUUGGGGCAUGCUUCCGCAGCCCUUAAAAUCAGUGGCAGUGCCUGUCGGCUCUAAGCGUAGUAAUACUCCUCGCUAUAGACCCCGGUGGAUAUGCGCCAGAACCCUAAAUUUUCUAUGGUUGACCUCGGAUCAGGUAGGGAUACCCGCUGAACUUAA
Molecule: unclassified non-coding RNA, 287 nt
Filed under: uncultured Helotiales
Lineage: Eukaryota; Fungi; Ascomycota; Leotiomycetes; Helotiales
Description: sequence contains ITS1
Rfam family: 5.8S ribosomal RNA (bases 1-105)
Source: RNAcentral